AACCGAAAAGCAGCGCCUGCACUCGCCGCGCCCGAAGGCGGCGAGUGGACGAGGCAGUGGUUCAUCGAAGCAUUCGGCGGGUGCCACUCGGCCGGCCACGGUCGUAAGGGGUCCCUCAAAGCCGCCGGGCGACCGGCGGGACAAAGGGGGCCUUGGUGGUCCA
RNAcentral lists this non-coding RNA (163 nucleotides) under Limnochorda pilosa. Its description in RNAcentral is "GlcN6P sequence". It matches the Rfam family "glmS glucosamine-6-phosphate activated ribozyme aptamer". From Rfam's summary of the family: This entry contains a glucosamine-6-phosphate activated ribozyme that is found in the mRNA for GlmS. GlmS is an enzyme that uses fructose-6-phosphate and glutamine to generate glucosamine-6-phosphate. Lineage: Bacteria; Bacillati; Bacillota; Limnochordia; Limnochordales; Limnochordaceae. The record is from Rfam by way of RNAcentral.